UGGUAUUUCAAAUUAUCUGACAAAGCAAAAUGCAAUGCAAGAGGGCAUAAAGAAUUAACAUGGCCACACAAGUCAAGGGCCAACUACACAUCUACGACCCAAUAUUCAGUUUUAUGCUAAUACAAUAGAGGAAAUGUGAUUGUGAUUGUCUAGUUAUGUGAGCAAGUCUACAGCAUGGCUCUGCUAUGUCUGUAAAAUUCCCCUAGAUAAUAGGAACAUUAGUAAG
This is a non-coding RNA of Pelobates cultripes (western spadefoot toad), 226 nucleotides long. NCBI's taxonomy places the organism in Eukaryota, Metazoa, Chordata, Amphibia, Anura, Pelobatidae. The record is from the annotation of a GenBank genome assembly.